This 2908-nucleotide ribosomal RNA is filed under the name Salmonella enterica. Its description in RNAcentral is "23S ribosomal RNA". It matches the Rfam family "Bacterial large subunit ribosomal RNA". RNAcentral also lists the same sequence under 6 other names. The record is from RNAcentral. Lineage: Bacteria; Pseudomonadati; Pseudomonadota; Gammaproteobacteria; Enterobacterales; Enterobacteriaceae.
GGUUAAGCGACUAAGCGUACACGGUGGAUGCCCUGGCAGUCAGAGGCGAUGAAGGACGUGCUAAUCUGCGAUAAGCGCCGGUAAGGUGAUAUGAACCGUUAUAACCGGCGAUUUCCGAAUGGGGAAACCCAGUGUGAUUCGUCACACUAUCAUUAACUGAAUCCAUAGGUUAAUGAGGCGAACCGGGGGAACUGAAACAUCUAAGUACCCCGAGGAAAAGAAAUCAACCGAGAUUCCCCCAGUAGCGGCGAGCGAACGGGGAGGAGCCCAGAGCCUGAAUCAGCAUGUGUGUUAGUGGAAGCGUCUGGAAAGGCGCGCGAUACAGGGUGACAGCCCCGUACACAAAAGCGCAUGUGCUGUGAGCUCGAUGAGUAGGGCGGGACACGUGGUAUCCUGUCUGAAUAUGGGGGGACCAUCCUCCAAGGCUAAAUACUCCUGACUGACCGAUAGUGAACCAGUACCGUGAGGGAAAGGCGAAAAGAACCCCGGCGAGGGGAGUGAAAAAGAACCUGAAACCGUGUACGUACAAGCAGUGGGAGCACAGGUUUACCUGUGUGACUGCGUACCUUUUGUAUAAUGGGUCAGCGACUUAUAUUCUGUAGCAAGGUUAACCGAAUAGGGGAGCCGGAGGGAAACCGAGUCUUAAUUGGGCGUUAAGUUGCAGGGUAUAGACCCGAAACCCGGUGAUCUAGCCAUGGGCAGGUUGAAGGUUGGGUAACACUAACUGGAGGACCGAACCGACUAAUGUUGAAAAAUUAGCGGAUGACCUGUGGCUGGGGGUGAAAGGCCAAUCAAACCGGGAGAUAGCUGGUUCUCCCCGAAAGCUAUUUAGGUAGCGCCUCGUGAAUUCAUCUCCGGGGGUAGAGCACUGUUUCGGCUAGGGGGCCAUCCCGGCUUACCAACCCGAUGCAAACUGCGAAUACCGGAGAAUGUUAUCACGGGAGACACACGGCGGGUGCUAACGUCCGUCGUGAAGAGGGAAACAACCCAGACCGCCAGCUAAGGUCCCAAAGUCAUGGUUAAGUGGGAAACGAUGUGGGAAGGCCCAGACAGCCAGGAUGUUGGCUUAGAAGCAGCCAUCAUUUAAAGAAAGCGUAAUAGCUCACUGGUCGAGUCGGCCUGCGCGGAAGAUGUAACGGGGCUAAACCAUGCACCGAAGCUGCGGCAGCGACGCUGAUGCGUUGUUGGGUAGGGGAGCGUUCUGUAAGCCUGCGAAGGUGACCUGUGAGGGUUGCUGGAGGUAUCAGAAGUGCGAAUGCUGACAUAAGUAACGAUAAAGCGGGUGAAAAGCCCGCUCGCCGGAAGACCAAGGGUUCCUGUCCAACGUUAAUCGGGGCAGGGUGAGUCGACCCCUAAGGCGAGGCCGAAAGGCGUAGUCGAUGGGAAACGGGUUAAUAUUCCCGUACUUGGUGUUACUGCGAAGGGGGGACGGAGAAGGCUAUGUUGGCCGGGCGACGGUUGUCCCGGUUUAAGCGUGUAGGUGUGUGUUCCAGGUAAAUCCGGUUCACUUUAACACUGAGGCGUGACGACGAGGCACUACGGUGCUGAAGCAACAAAUGCCCUGCUUCCAGGAAAAGCCUCUAAGCAUCAGGUAACACGAAAUCGUACCCCAAACCGACACAGGUGGUCAGGUAGAGAAUACCAAGGCGCUUGAGAGAACUCGGGUGAAGGAACUAGGCAAAAUGGUGCCGUAACUUCGGGAGAAGGCACGCUGACACGUAGGUGAAGUGAUUUACUCAUGGAGCUGAAGUCAGUCGAAGAUACCAGCUGGCUGCAACUGUUUAUUAAAAACACAGCACUGUGCAAACACGAAAGUGGACGUAUACGGUGUGACGCCUGCCCGGUGCCGGAAGGUUAAUUGAUGGGGUCAGCGCAAGCGAAGCUCCUGAUCGAAGCCCCGGUAAACGGCGGCCGUAACUAUAACGGUCCUAAGGUAGCGAAAUUCCUUGUCGGGUAAGUUCCGACCUGCACGAAUGGCGUAAUGAUGGCCAGGCUGUCUCCACCCGAGACUCAGUGAAAUUGAACUCGCUGUGAAGAUGCAGUGUACCCGCGGCAAGACGGAAAGACCCCGUGAACCUUUACUAUAGCUUGACACUGAACAUUGAGCCUUGAUGUGUAGGAUAGGUGGGAGGCUUUGAAGUGUGGACGCCAGUCUGCAUGGAGCCGACCUUGAAAUACCACCCUUUAAUGUUUGAUGUUCUAACGUGGACCCGUAAUCCGGGUUGCGGACAGUGUCUGGUGGGUAGUUUGACUGGGGCGGUCUCCUCCUAAAGAGUAACGGAGGAGCACGAAGGUUGGCUAAUCCUGGUCGGACAUCAGGAGGUUAGUGCAAUGGCAUAAGCCAGCUUGACUGCGAGCGUGACGGCGCGAGCAGGUGCGAAAGCAGGUCAUAGUGAUCCGGUGGUUCUGAAUGGAAGGGCCAUCGCUCAACGGAUAAAAGGUACUCCGGGGAUAACAGGCUGAUACCGCCCAAGAGUUCAUAUCGACGGCGGUGUUUGGCACCUCGAUGUCGGCUCAUCACAUCCUGGGGCUGAAGUAGGUCCCAAGGGUAUGGCUGUUCGCCAUUUAAAGUGGUACGCGAGCUGGGUUUAGAACGUCGUGAGACAGUUCGGUCCCUAUCUGCCGUGGGCGCUGGAGAACUGAGGGGGGCUGCUCCUAGUACGAGAGGACCGGAGUGGACGCAUCACUGGUGUUCGGGUUGUCAUGCCAAUGGCACUGCCCGGUAGCUAAAUGCGGAAGAGAUAAGUGCUGAAAGCAUCUAAGCACGAAACUUGCCCCGAGAUGAGUUCUCCCUGAGACUUAGAGUCUCCUGAAGGAACGUUGAAGACGACGACGUUGAUAGGCCGGGUGUGUAAGCGCAGCGAUGCGUUGAGCUAACCGGUACUAAUGAACCGUGAGGCUUAACCUU